GUAGGGGGCGAGCGUUGUCCGAAGUUACUGGGCGUAAAGCGCGCGUAGGCGGGUUGGCAAGUCCGCUGUGAAAGCCCGGAGCUUAACUCCGGAGGGUCGGUGGAUACUGCCAGUCUUGAAGGGACUAGGGGGAGAUGGAAUUACCGGUGUAGCGGUGAAAUGCGUAGAGAUCGGUAGGAACACCAGUGGCGAAGGCGGUCUCCUGGGGUUAUCUUGACGCUGAUGCGCGAAAGCUGGGGGAGCGAACGGGAUUAGAUACCCCGGUAGUCCCAGCCCUAAACGAUGGAUACUAGGUGUCGGGGGUAUCGACCCCUCCGGUGCCGCAGCUAACGCAGUAAGUAUCCCGCCUGGGGAGUACGGCCGCAANGUNG
Molecule: ribosomal RNA, 371 nt
Filed under: uncultured bacterium
Lineage: Bacteria
Description: bacterial SSU rRNA
Rfam family: Bacterial small subunit ribosomal RNA
Source: RNAcentral